CAAAGGUGUCCACAGUGUUGGCUUCAACCACAUGUAUACAAUCAUCAAAUUCCUAUACAACAGGUCUACCCAUACAAAACAAAAGAGUAAACCUAACAGUCAGUCCUAGAUACACCCACCCUCAAAAAAAUAUAAAACUAGUCCGAAGAGCUGUCCACUAGGAUGAAGAGCCUCGGCUGAUCGCCAUCUCCCCCGGGCCACUAUCCUCCGUAGAGUCUGCCUCAGAUGCCGACAUGACUUCCUCGGGAGAAUCCACCUCAGGAAGUGGGUCCUCA
This 275-nucleotide long non-coding RNA is filed under the name Glycine max (soybean). RNAcentral describes it as "long non-coding RNA (GMAX_LNC003946)". Lineage: Eukaryota; Viridiplantae; Streptophyta; Magnoliopsida; Fabales; Fabaceae. The record is from RNAcentral.